RNAcentral lists this ribosomal RNA (559 nucleotides) under Trichoderma harzianum. Its description in RNAcentral is "eukaryotic LSU rRNA". The stretch from base 211 to 364 matches the Rfam family "5.8S ribosomal RNA". Lineage: Eukaryota; Fungi; Ascomycota; Sordariomycetes; Hypocreales; Hypocreaceae. The record is from RNAcentral. RNAcentral also lists the same sequence under 1 other name.
GGAUCAUUACCGAGUUUACAACUCCCAAACCCAAUGUGAACGUUACCAAACUGUUGCCUCGGCGGGAUCUCUGCCCCGGGUGCGUCGCAGCCCCGGACCAAGGCGCCCGCCGGAGGACCAACCAAAACUCUUAUUGUAUACCCCCUCGCGGGUUUUUUUAUAAUCUGAGCCUUCUCGGCGCCUCUCGUAGGCGUUUCGAAAAUGAAUCAAAACUUUCAACAACGGAUCUCUUGGUUCUGGCAUCGAUGAAGAACGCAGCGAAAUGCGAUAAGUAAUGUGAAUUGCAGAAUUCAGUGAAUCAUCGAAUCUUUGAACGCACAUUGCGCCCGCCAGUAUUCUGGCGGGCAUGCCUGUCCGAGCGUCAUUUCAACCCUCGAACCCCUCCGGGGGGUCGGCGUUGGGGAUCGGCCCUCCCUUAGCGGGUGGCCGUCUCCGAAAUACAGUGGCGGUCUCGCCGCAGCCUCUCCUGCGCAGUAGUUUGCACACUCGCAUCGGGAGCGCGGCGCGUCCACAGCCGUUAAACACCCAACUUCUGAAAUGUUGACCUCGGAUCAGGUAG